Molecule: ribosomal RNA, 777 nt
Filed under: uncultured Neocallimastigales
Lineage: Eukaryota; Fungi; Neocallimastigomycota; Neocallimastigomycetes; Neocallimastigales
Description: partial large subunit ribosomal RNA
Rfam family: Eukaryotic large subunit ribosomal RNA
Source: RNAcentral
UACGACUACAUAUCAGGCAUAUCAAUAAGCGGAGGAAAAGAAACUAACAAGGAUUCCCUUAGUAACGGCGAGUGAAGCGGGAAGAGCUCAAAUUUGAAAUCUUCAAGGUUUACCUUGACGAAUUGUAGUUUAAAGAAGUGUUUUCUGUUGAGUGUUUCGGUAAAAGUUCUUUGGAAUAGGACAUCAUAGAGGGUGAGAAUCCCGUAUUUGACCAUUAUUUUCAGCUGUGUGAUACACUUUCAAAGAGUCGGAUUGUUUGGGAAUGCAGUCCAAAAUGGGUGGUAAAUUUCAUCUAAAGCUAAAUAUUGGCGAGAGACCGAUAGCGAACAAGUACCGUGAGGGAAAGAUGAAAAGAACUUUGAAAAGAGAGUUAAACAGUACGUGAAAUUGUCAAAAGGGAAGCGUUUGACACCAGUGUUGUUUUCUCGAAAAUCAAUUAAAAAUAACUUUGAUUUUGUGUUGUAUUGACCUUAAAAGCUUUCUUCACUUUUUUCUUGUUAUUUUUAAUGCACUUUUCGUUUAACAAGUCAACAUCAGUUUCUUUUGUUGUAAAAAGGUCAUUGGAAGGUGGCUUUCUUUUCGGAGAAAGUGUUUAUAGCCUUUGACUCCUGCAAUCGGAGAGACUGAGGUCUGCAGCGUAGAUCCUUUUUUGGAUUAGAUUCAUUUGUGCUAAGUUAUAGCUUUUUAUAGACAACAUGUUGACUAUAUUUAGUCUUGUAGCUUACUCGCUUAUGUAAUUUUACCUACGCUUAGGAUGUUGAUCUCUCACAGUCGAGC